AGCGGCGGAUGGGUGAGUAACACGUGGGGAACCUGCCCCUAAGUCUGGGAUACCAUUUGGAAACAGGUGCUAAUACCGGAUAAUAAAGCAGAUCGCAUGAUCAGCUUUUGAAAGGCGGCGUAAGCUGUCGCUAAGGGAUGGCCCCGCGGUGCAUUAGCUAGUUGGUAAGGUAACGGCUUACCAAGGCGACGAUGCAUAGCCGAGUUGAGAGACUGAUCGGCCACAUUGGGACUGAGACACGGCCCAAACUCCUACGGGAGGCAGCAGUAGGGAAUCUUCCACAAUGGACGCAAGUCUGAUGGAGCAACGCCGCGUGAGUGAAGAAGGUUUUCGGAUCGUAAAGCUCUGUUGUUGGUGAAGAAGGAUAGAGGUAGUAACUGGCCUUUAUUUGACGGUAAUCAACCAGAAAGUCACGGCUAACUACGUGCCAGCAGCCGCGGUAAUACGUAGGUGGCAAGCGUUGUCCGGAUUUAUUGGGCGUAAAGCGAGCGCAGGCGGAAAAAUAAGUCUAAUGUGAAAGCCCUCGGCUUAACCGAGGAACUGCAUCGGAAACUGUUUUUCUUGAGUGCAGAAGAGGAGAGUGGAACUCCAUGUGUAGCGGUGGAAUGCGUAGAUAUAUGGAAGAACACCAGUGGCGAAAGCGGCUCUCUGGUCUGCAACUGACGCUGAGGCUCGAAAGCAUGGGUAGCGAACAGGAUUAGAUACCCUGGUA
This 712-nucleotide ribosomal RNA is filed under the name uncultured bacterium. RNAcentral describes it as "bacterial SSU rRNA". It matches the Rfam family "Bacterial small subunit ribosomal RNA", at positions 94 to 792 of the family's 1533-position model. The record is from RNAcentral.